UUCUUUGCUGGGAAAGAUGCGUGAGUUUGUGUUCUCUAAAUAGACUACGGAAAAUAGUUUAAUCCCUUGCAAAAAUACUGAAUUUUAGGAGUCGAGGAAUCGAUUCCUUGCGGAAUCUUAACACCCAGAAAUGGGAGUUGACACCGGAGGUUGACCAGCAAGGAGUUGAGGAAUCGAUUAUUUUGAAGUAGACUCCCAAUCACUAUCCAUAUGGCAGUUGGGACAGAGCGCCCGGUAAACUACACAACAACCCAGCUGGAAAUCAACGACAGUUUCUCGAAAUUUCCUGAAACAUGUCAAUGGCCUGAUGCAUGGCCUCUACAGAGGUGCUUGGCCACCCACUCAGUUACCAGUGACCUAUUCUGCCACAUCCCAGGGAAAGGAGAGCGCAGAACCACUCCUGUUUAAAUCCAUAGUCAUUGACAGUACAAAAGCCUUGUGUCCUGAUUCAACAGACUCCCUUGUAAGUGUCAUGAAAAGCCAGAAAACUCAGGAGGUUGAUGUGUUGCCUUCUGGGAAGUCCUGAAAUAUGACCCUGAGCCGUUUUGGAGAUGGACGCAAAGUAUGUGUAUGAAUCUGACCCAUCACACAACUCUUCAAGAGGGCCACUACGCUCCAGAUCGCCUUCUGUGCUCAGAGGUCCUUGAUGAGGAUCUACCCCAUCACACCCACUCUUAUUAAUCAUUAAUCAAAUAAAACAAUGGGCCUUUAUAUACUCCCA
Coregonus clupeaformis (lake whitefish) is the source of this 721-nucleotide long non-coding RNA. RefSeq lists it as uncharacterized. The record is from RefSeq and is a predicted model, not a curated record. The transcript is spliced from 5 exons. NCBI's taxonomy places the organism in Eukaryota, Metazoa, Chordata, Actinopteri, Salmoniformes, Salmonidae.